GGAUUGGGGAAUGUAUUAGAGAACACACUACAAAUCCCACUCCUCUUCGCCUCCAUGUUGCAGAAUCAUGGGAUUUGCAGUCUUCUGAAAGUGGGAUGCCUUUCUUACUUCUGAUUUUCAGGGCAUAUCGAAGUCCUUAUUCCCUUCUCCGGCUUCAUCCCCUUCGGGGCUCAAACGGAUCUCAACAGCUUGUCGGAAGCGAGGCUCGUACAUCUCUACUGUCUCCUCACCUCUUCAAUUAGUGAAUUGAACACAACUGUCAAUGCUGACCCAUAAGUGUGCUUAGACGUGGGACGGAGAGGCCUCGGCGGCCCGGGGAAAUGGGUUUCGGAGCAAGACAACAUGGCUGAAGACUCUCUGGUCCUGAGGCAUCUUCCUCGGCCGUUCCAGGAGGCAAAGAGCCGCGAUUCAUCUGGCCGACAGAAGCCCGUCGUCGCUGCCGGCAAGACAAAUGCAACGCCGUUUGCUUUGAGCCCCAUGCCAGCAAAGCGUUUUUGCCAGAGGCUCUCUGUGGCUAGAGAGCGCAGUGAUGUGAAAACAAUUGGCAAGGAGUAGGCGGAGUGCUGCUCGCUUGCAUGUGUUUGUUGAUUUAUGGAGAUCCUGUGGAUCCCGUAGGGUACGGGUGUGCGAAACCACAGAAAUCUGUCCGGUUUUUGGUCUGUUUUCAUUCCGAAUUCCGGGUCACCCACCCUCCCUUUCCUGCAUUUUUCCGAAAUGGAAACAGAAUUCCGGAUUCCGGAUUAUGCGUCCGAACAGCCCCCCUCCUACCGGUAAUCUCCAGGAAUCUUCCCGAAAACAACGAAAACAGAACCGAUUUCUGCCAUUUUGCACACACCUACCGUAGGGUUUCUUAGUGGUGGUUUUUGGAAGAAAAAAGAAACAUCAAAUAGAAGUUGCACCCGGGGAUUUCUCUACAUUAUUAACCACCUGGAAGGUGUCCAGAGAAAGAGGGCGACUCAAAGGACCAAAGGUCUGGAGACCACGAAUAAUCCCUAUGAGGAGCGUCUUAAAGAACUGGUCUCUUUAGUCUUCAGAAGAGAAGGUGGAGAGGAGACGUGAUCGUCAUGUAUAAAUAUUUGAAAGGAAGAGGGAGGAGGCUUGUUUCCUUCUGUCAAUGGAGUCAGGAGAUUCCACCUAGACAUCAGGAAGAAUUUCUUGAGCAUGCGAGCUGUUCAGCAGCGGAACUCUCUGCCUCAGAGACCGGUGGAAGCUCCUUUCUUGGAGGCUUUUAAGCAGAGGCCGAGUGGCCAUCUGUCAGGGAUACUUUGAUGGUUCUUUUCCUGCAUGGAAAACAGGGUUUUAACUAGAUGCCCCAUGUGGUCUCUUCCAACUCGUUUCGGUUGUCGCCAGAUGUUUCCGAAGCACAGGUUUGGUGUCACAGCCUUCCGAGCGCCUUGCUAAGCGGGUGGCAAAGUGGCCUCUUCACUCGCAAGAGGGAAGGAGAGAGAAGACGCACUCGAGAUGUGACACCCAACGUCGGCAGUGGCAAGCUUGUAGAGAGAUAAUUAAAAGGGUGUUUUUCCCGCCUGCUUGCAAAGUGAAUGCAUCCGUCGUCGUCGAGAAGGUGGCGGAGAGCGUGAACAGCAUUGUGCAGAAAGGAACCGGGAUCGAGGGGGAUAAAAGGCAGAGCUGAAAGGGAAAGCAGCAGACACACCUGGAAUCACCCUGUCUGGGGACCACCAUUGAAAGGAGAUGUCGACUCUAUGAUGGAAUGUGAUGCAAAGGAUCAAGGAUCUGGAGAACAAGCCCUAUGAGGAGUGGCUUAAAGAGCUGGGUAUGUUUUGCCUUCAGAAGAGAAGGCUGAGAGGAGACGUGAUGAAGGCCAUGGAUCAAGACGUGAGGGGAAGAAGUUAGGAUGCAAUGGAACAACGGCUUCAAAAUUCAGGAAAGAAGAAGAUUCUAUUGCGCCAAAAUGCUAAUGUGUAUGUGUGUGUGUAAAAGAAAUCCCUUGAAAGAAAACCUUUGCAAAAGAUCUCUGCAAGAAAAGAGCUCAGCUUUUGCAGGAGCUAAGCCACGCCUAAAACAAUGUAUCGUUUUGAGAGCAGGUGGCUGAGAUUGUCAGUUGGAAUUUGAGCUUGCUAGAGAGAGGACACAAGAAGACUGGCUCUCUGAAUAGCUACGGUCAAGUAGCUGUUUUGAACAUGCUAUGCUGUAUAUAUAUUGAAUGCUGAUUUAUUAGUUAUUUAUGCAACUACAAGGACAUUGUAAGAUUGCUGAACUGUUUUAUUUGACUUCAACUCUACAAGUAAAGUUUCCUUUGUUCUGUUCAA
Long non-coding RNA from Anolis carolinensis (green anole), 2270 nucleotides. RefSeq lists it as uncharacterized. NCBI's taxonomy places the organism in Eukaryota, Metazoa, Chordata, Lepidosauria, Squamata, Anolidae. The record is from RefSeq and is a predicted model, not a curated record. The transcript is spliced from 2 exons.